GAGGCAAGGUCCCUGCUUCAGUGGGAGUGU
RNAcentral lists this non-coding RNA (30 nucleotides) under Homo sapiens (human). Lineage: Eukaryota; Metazoa; Chordata; Mammalia; Primates; Hominidae. The record is from RNAcentral.